This is a long non-coding RNA of Tyto alba (common barn owl), 964 nucleotides long. RefSeq lists it as uncharacterized. The record is from RefSeq and is a predicted model, not a curated record. The transcript is spliced from 2 exons. NCBI's taxonomy places the organism in Eukaryota, Metazoa, Chordata, Aves, Strigiformes, Tytonidae.
GCCCCGGCCCCCCGCUACGGGCAGGGCCCGGGCGCGGCCUGCUGCGGCUGCGGCCUGCCCUGGGAGGUGGCCGAGGCCCGGGAGCGGUCCGUGGCGACCGGGUGCGUGUGUCCCCGUCAGGCGGCAAGGACGCGGGGGGGGGGGGGAUGCCCGCGCCCUGGCCGGGUGCCCUGGAGGGGUUUUGAGAGGAACCCAUGUCCCUGUCGGGUGGCAGUGGCCGCUGCGUGCCCAGGGCCAGGGUAGGAGACGGACAUCCUCAUCUUCAACAGCAAUAGAUUUCUUGAUAAACGGCAACUACAACAAAGCCAAACUGAUCUGCUGGGUAAAGGCCAACACGGCCCAGCUGGUCACGUGCCUGCGGCUUGUCAGACGCCUCCACAUGAAAGACAUCCGGCACCGGUCCUGUGAGAAGAAGGUGCGAGGAACAGGUAAGAAGAGGAGAGGCUUCUCGAGCUCCUCGUGCAACCCCGGCUGGGGCAGCGUGUGCCCGGCGCAUUGGCAACGCGAAAGGCAGCGGUGCAAGCGGGUGCUGCUGUCCACGCGGGGUGGGAGCUGGGGCCGGAGAGAACAGGCACCCGUGGCCGUCAGGUGCCCACGCACGGGUGCCCAGGGCCCAAGAGGAGGGGCCCGCACCCUGGCAGGGUGCCCACGUCCCCGCCAGGUUCCCGUGUGGCGGUUGCUCCCCGUGGCCCUGUACGGUGGCCCUGGCCAGCGCCUGCCCGCGGCCCACGGGCUCCCUCAGGCCUGAGCACCUCCGAGGCUGGGGCGAGGGCAAGCAGCACGGCAGGAGGAGGGGCGGGUGUUGGGAAGCGGGUGGAGAACAGUUCCAACCGUCGCCUUGUCAUCCAGCUGACAGUGAACUCUCUGCAGGGUGGCAGCCAGCUGGUGCGUCGGGACACGCCUCAGCCCACCGAAGGCUCCCGCGGCUCUGCUCAGAGCAAUAAAGUGGAUCGUUACACCGGUA